Molecule: long non-coding RNA, 506 nt
Filed under: Parus major (Great Tit)
Lineage: Eukaryota; Metazoa; Chordata; Aves; Passeriformes; Paridae
Description: lncRNA (ENSPMJG00000013716.1)
Source: RNAcentral
CUUACAUUUACUUAUUUUUUUUAUUCAGUGACAAUUGUUUUUUCCUGGGAAAUGAAGGUAUGUAAUUGUUUUUAUCUGCCUCAAAAGUGACUUUGAAUCUGCAAAAUAGAGUAAAACUUACAUUUUUAUUUCUUAGGUACCUGAGAAUCCCACUCAAGCCUCAUGAUCUACUUGUGCUAUUCUGAUCAUUAAUUACUACUGAGCUUUUACUAUUGGAGUUGCCCAUCCAUGCUGCUGUACUGUCUUUGUUAAAAGAUGAUGUUAACCAACAUCUAGGACCUCUACAACAGUCCACAAGGAAGAUUGGCUCACAAGACGGGCUCACAGGUCCCUGCUCCAGGCUACAGCAGCCAGUGGAAGCACAACACCAGUAUCACAAAGGCAAGCCCUUGGAAUGGUAGGUAAAGGCUCCUGAUCAGCACAGGGGAAAUCCAUAGGACAUUGGAACUUCUUCCUUGGGCCAAGAAAAAGUCUCCAUCCACAGCAUCUGAAAUAUUUCUGACAUG